Molecule: ribosomal RNA, 1310 nt
Filed under: Halosydna sp. YZ-2018
Lineage: Eukaryota; Metazoa; Annelida; Polychaeta; Phyllodocida; Polynoidae
Description: 16S ribosomal RNA
Rfam family: Bacterial large subunit ribosomal RNA (bases 841-1211)
Source: RNAcentral
UUAUUUUUUAAUAAUACUCUUUUCUAAUUAAAUCAUUUUCUAAUUCAACAUGUGAUCCAACCCUAUUCUCUCUCACCCGCAAGGCUUUAAACUUUAAAUUUUCUACAGUCUAUUUAAACCCUAGUACCUUUUGCAUAAUGGCUUAGCAAGCUUAAAGAUAUUUUUCUUUUACCCGAAUGAAAAACGAGCUAUAAUAAAUUUGCUUAGACCCCAAUGGUUUCUGUGGCAUCAGAUUCAUAAAAAUUUAUUAUAGAGGCUACAUACCUACCGCGUUUUCUAAUAGCUGGUUCUCUUCUUUUACUAUCUAAGUAGUUUUAUCUUUCUUAUUAUAUACCUCAAAAUUUUAGAUAAAUUAUUUUUCCUAGGAUAAGCUAGGAAACUAUCUUUCUAUCACUACUCUAAAGGAUCAAUUUCUUAUAAAGGCUUAAGAUCAGCCAUUUAUUCAUUUCUACGUUCUAGUACUAAUAUUUUCUUCCUAAAAUCCUAAUUUAUUGAUGGUCAACCCAGAAGAGUCUAAAAAUAAACUUUUUAUUUUUAUAAACAAUGCUAAGAUUAGUAUUCUUUCUAUAUAUUCUUCAAUUCUUUAAAUAAACCUAACCCCCUUAUUAUAUUUAACUAUAUAUUUUUAACGAACUCUGCAAACUUUUAGUUCGACUGUUUACCAAAAACAUUGCUUCUAGAAUAAUGAUUAGAAGUUCAUCCUGCCCAGUGAUUUUUUUCAACGGCCGCGGUAUCCUGACCGUGCAAAGGUAGCAUAAUCAUUUGCCUUUUAAUUGAAGGCUUGUAUGAAUGGAUAAACGAGACUAUAACUGUUUCAAUCUUAUUAUUAAAAAUUAGGCUUCAGGUGAAGACACCUGAAUUACUCUAAAAGACAAGAAGACCCCGUAGAGUUUUAAGUAUAUAAGUUUCUCUCUACUUUAUUUACUUUUGGUUGGGGCGACCCAGGGUUAAAUUUAACACCCUUAAUUUCUUAGAGACGUUUCUCUCUUUAAAGACCCUAUUUUAUUGAUCUUCAGAAUAAACUACCUCGGGGAUAACAGGCUUAUCUUCCUAGAGAGCCCAUAUUGAUAGGAAGGUUUGGCACCUCGAUGUUGGCUUAGAGUACCUUGAAAAUGCAGAAGUUUUCUAUAGUCAGUUUGUUCAACUGUUAAAACUCUACAUGAGCUGAGUUCAGACCGGCGUAAGCCAGGUUAGUUUCUAUCUUUAGAACACUAUUUAGUUUAUUAGUACGAAAGGACCAUGAACUUCAAUAUCAUUGAUUUUAAUCGACACCCAAUAACCCAUUCACUUUAAUUAAUCUUCUUUUACAC